This is a long non-coding RNA of Cygnus olor (mute swan), 2278 nucleotides long. RefSeq lists it as uncharacterized. The record is from RefSeq and is a predicted model, not a curated record. Lineage: Eukaryota; Metazoa; Chordata; Aves; Anseriformes; Anatidae. The transcript is spliced from 4 exons.
CAGCCUUGUGGCAGCCCCAGCUCCAUCUGGAACAGGAGAGCAAGCAGGGUGCCCUGUGCUGGGCUGAGCCACACAGCCACUGCUGGGGCAGCCAGUGAGGGAGUAGAAGACAGAGGCCUACCUGAUAAAAGAAACAACCCCUACAAAAUGCAUAAGGACUUCAUAUUUUUAAGACCCCCUAGCACUUUGACAAAUUUGAUUGAGAGCGGCCAGCGGCUUACAAAGUUAGUGGGGAACAGAAGCUGACAGAUAGUGUUGAGCAAGAAAGAAAAGAGAAAUCCAAUGGUGAUUAUAAAGACAGUUAUUAACAACUGUCAUGCACACAUGUAAACUACUAGCAUGUUUUAACUAGAAGGCUAAGCAGGAUCUGUCUAACUAGUAAUUCCAGCCUGAAUGCACUCAGCAGUCCCACACCAGGACUCACAGUUAUAAUGUAAUUCUGCCCCCAGCUGGUUAAGACAUAGCUGACAUAGGAGACUGAAAGGGAGAGAAUAUUGAACCUAUGAACUCUGCUUCUUCUCAGAUGAUGACUACAAUUUGCAUGCAAAGUAUCAGCAGCUUUACUGUUCAGCACAGGUGCUAAUAGAUUCUAAGUUCUUUAUGUAUAAUUGCAGCCCAUCCUUAUCUCCCAGGGAAGAAGAAAAACAAAGGAAAAAGAAAAGUAAGGCAAUAGAAAAGCAGGGUGAUGAGUUAUUAUUAUUACCUUUUGAAACAAAAGCUUUCAUUCACCCUUCAACCUCUUGCCACUAUCUUCUAUCAUAUUUCAGGACAUCUCUUCUGAUGCAGCAGAAGAAUAGAUUACAAAUACCUUCAAAUUCAUCUAACUUACUUUCUAUUCCAUAUAUCACCUUUUCAUAUGCAGCUGUUUCUGUCACAUCAGCAAUCCACUACCUUAGUAACAGUCCUGGUGCAUCCUCUCAGGUUCUUGUUUUCAACACUGUGAGACUAAAGGGGUCAACGUCAUGAAGCUUAGCCCCUGUAUUUAGGCUCUGUAUAUUCAAAUAGAUAAGACUGGCAAGAAAAUAUGGUGUAAGUGGAAACAAGACAAAAAGAAAGAAAAUGGAAAAAGUUAUGCUGAAAAAAAAAUAAAAUAAGUCUAGAUUUUAGCAUCUAAGCUUCAGUGCAAAGUACAAACAAAAUGAAAUGGUCCCUCUAGUAGAGUCCCACUGGGUGAUACAGAGUCUGGUAACUGCUGCUUUGCAGUUUCCUGCUGUCUCCAUUUCCUGGCAUCCUAAGUGAGCUCAGAGGAGAGGACAGCCUCAAGAACAUAUGGUCUGCCUGAGACCUGCAGAAACUGAGAAGACCGAACUGGACAUUGUGAAAUUUUGCAGAGGGUUAUAGCAAUAUAAGUAUUAAAUGAAUCUAGGAAGUGUACACCUCAAGAAGGUGGAAUUACAAAGCAGAACAGCUACUGAGGGUGCACAUUACUGAAGCAAGGGGAUAUGACAAUUCAACCCAUAUCCCUUGACAAAAAAUCUCUGGCAUAGGUUUGGGAAGAGGACAGAAAGAGGAGGAACAUUGUUUGGAGGUGGGUGAGGCACAGGUCCAGUAGGUGCGAAUGACUUAAAGAAUGGUGCAAACUCACCAGAUUACUCAUUGAUGAAGUACUGACCACAAGCUGAGAAUAUCAAAAUAGAAGCGUAAACACAUGCCUGAAGUAGGAAGCAGUAGACCUAGCCAGCCACACCGUGAAAUGACUGGGUAUCACAUAUUUAUCAGAGGCAGGGUGGUACAACAUGGCUGGGUUUUGUACCUACUGGAUGGGGUGUGGAACCCUGGUCAAUAUUUGCUAACUCCGAGGACACAAUUACCCUAUGCCCAAUAUACAAAACUUUUGAAAUCCUCCUAUAGUUGCUUUUAAAGGUUUAAUUUCUUUUUCGCAUUUCCCUAACAGCAACAGUACUGAUUUGCAAUGUUCUCCAGAAAAUAAAUAAAUGAAUAAAUAAAUAAAUAAAACAUGUUGCAGGUGAGCUUUUUCCUUGCAUUCCAUAGCAGCUGGAAUUUCUUUGUUUUCCUCCACCUUUUGCUUGUCACAUAGCAGCACUUAUGAAAAGUGUCCAAUGAAGUAAGCACUGGAAAAAAUAUCCUCUCCAUUGUCCUUUUUUAAAAAUUAUCUUCAUUGCACCUUUGAUUAGAAAGGAUCAGGAGGCAAAGCUAGGGGAGGGUCUGAGCACACCCUAAAGAUAUUCAGAACAAAACUCGUGACAAACAGCCAGGCUAUGAACUACUGUGUCUGCAGAGGAAAAAUAUUAAUAAUAAUUAAAAAAAAAAAAAAUAA